Molecule: ribosomal RNA, 458 nt
Filed under: uncultured microorganism
Description: bacterial SSU rRNA
Rfam family: Bacterial small subunit ribosomal RNA
Source: RNAcentral
GUGCAGCAGGCGAGAAUAGUCUACAAUGGACGAAAGUCUGAUAGUGCGACGCCGUGUGUGCGAUUAAUUCCUUCGGGAUGUAAAGCACUUUUCUAUGAGAUAAAAGCUCUUUAGGUUAAUAGCUUAUUGAGACGGAUAUUAUUAUAGGAAUAAGCUCCGGCUAACUCCGUGCCAGCAGCCGCGGUAAUACGGAAGGAGCGAGCGUUGUCCGGAUUUACUAGGCGUAAAGGGCUAGUAGGCGACUAAUUAAGUUAUAUGUUAAAUCCCACGGCUCAACUGUGGUCCUGCAUGUAAUACUGGUUAGAUAGAGUACUGUAGAGGAAGGCAGAAUUCCUGGAGUAGCGGUGGAAUGCGCAGAUAUCAGGAAGAAUACCAAAAGCGAAGGCAGCCUUCUGGGCAGUUACUGACGCUGAAUAGCGAAGGUGUGGGUAGCGAACAGGAUUAGAUACCCCCGUAGU